RNAcentral lists this long non-coding RNA (264 nucleotides) under Struthio camelus australis. RNAcentral's name for it is "lncRNA (ENSSCUG00000004233.1)". The record is from RNAcentral. Lineage: Eukaryota; Metazoa; Chordata; Aves; Struthioniformes; Struthionidae.
CUACCCUUCUCUGCUUUAUCGGCCCAGGCAAAGUGGGAUCCUGAACCCAACAGGAAUUUGGCCACUACAGGCAUCUCUGGAGCUAUCAGCAUGAAGCAACGGCAAACAGAUGGAGCUUCUUUUUUUUUUAUUUUUAAGCUGGGGCACAGCAUGACCAAGCCAAACAAGCCAGCUUCGUAGAAGGAAGGUAACCUUAUGUGCUAGCUUGUGGGACGCGUCCCACCGGUGAUGAGGGGGAGCUGAGGUCGAACAGGCGCACGUGCG